AAGUUCCGUACCUGUGAUCCAUCUCAGUCUAUAAAUGUGUUAUCUUGUGAUGUACUUGAUAUCAUAAAGUGCUAAAAUACCUACUUCUGCUUAGUGUGUUGCAGAAACAAAUGUGCAGGAACAUGAGCAGGUCUUCAGUUUACUUCUUCAAUCCAUCAACAGCCUGAAGUCAGAGGUAACUGCACUGAUUAGAGAACAUGAGAGGAAGGAGGUGAGAAGGACUGAGGAGCACAUAGAGCGAAUGGAGAAGGAGAUAGAGGAGCUGAUGAGAAAGGAUGCUGAGCUGACUAAGCUUUUGCAGACAGACGACCAUAUUCACUUCCUCCAGAAGUUCUCAUCUCUCACUUGGCCUCCAGGAGAUGGAGUCCCACCUCACAUCACUGUCAAUAAAGAGUUGCUUCCUGAAUCUCUGAGGAAGGAUCUGUCUGAUCUGAAGAAAAGUCUACAGGAGAUCAGCAGCAGGCAGUUAGUGAAAGUUAAUGGUACUUAAGAUCCAGUUUACAUCCUGCAGGAACUGAUCACCAGAAGUAGCCUUUUAAAAAAUUCCUGCCGGCUCACGUUGGAUCUUAAUACAGUACAUAAAAAUCUCCAUCUAUCUGAAGAGAACAGGAAGGUAACGUAUAGUAAGACAGAGACCCCGUACCCCAAUCACGCUGAUAGAUUUGACUGGUGGCUCCAAGUACUCUGCACAGAAGGUCUAAUCGGGAGCCACUGCUACUGGGAGGUGGAGUGGAGUGGCAGGAGAGCGGAAAUUGGAGUUGCAUACAAAGGACUCUGCAGGAAAGGAUACGGCGAUGUGUGCUGCCUUGGACGCAAUGACAAAUCCUGGUGUUUGUGCUGCUUGGACUCUCGGUACUCCAUGUGGCACAAUAACAAGGAAACAAUGAUCACGGCCCCAUGCUGUUCAAGAAUAGGAGUGCAUCUGAAUUGUCCCACUGGCGUUCUCUCAUUUUAUAAUGUCUCAGAUAACAUGACCCUACUGUACAGGUUCAAGGCCUCCUUCAGUGAGCCUCUUUAUCCAGGGUUUAGGAUCGGAAUUGACUCAAGCAUUAGAAUCUGCCAGCUGGACCUGUCCGACUAAUGACUUAUGGGGUAAGAUUCUCGAGAAUGCAAUGCAGCACAUGAAAUUCUUUAAUAAUGAUUGGGAUAGAAGUUAAAAGGAUUCAGUGUAGCAGAGUAACUCUAAAAUCUGUGAUAUGGAUGCGACUCUUAGGAAUCCAGCACAUCAUAACCAACUUCAUCAGU
Long non-coding RNA from Erpetoichthys calabaricus (reedfish), 1245 nucleotides. RefSeq lists it as uncharacterized. The transcript is spliced from 4 exons. Lineage: Eukaryota; Metazoa; Chordata; Cladistia; Polypteriformes; Polypteridae. The record is from RefSeq and is a predicted model, not a curated record.